GCGAGUAGCAGAACCGAGCUAAGAUUGAUCUUUUGCUAUAAAAAAACGAUUCCUACCGAGACCGGCAAGAGAAAUUGAUUACCCAACUGGUUCCAAUGGUCUGCAUCGACUGUUCUUCCUCCUCCGCCACCGCUCGGCUCCUCCCAAUGAGCCACCAACACGUUGCUCUUCGCCGCUUCCUACGCGGCCCUCUCUAUUUGCGACCUCCUUGCUGUAGCUUUCCCAGAACGUUCAAAACCCUCACUGUUCACUCUUCGGCUUCGCCGUCACCUGUUCUCGCCGCAUCAAUCGCCCCUGAGGCAUCAGCUAAAGUAAUUGAUGGAAAAUCAGUUGCAAAGCAAAUCAGGGAUGAGAUAACUACUGAAGUAUCCCGGAUGAAGGAUGCAAUCGGUGUUAUUCCAGGAUUAGCAGUUAUCCUUGUCGGGGAUAGAAAGGACUCUGCAACUUAUGUUCGCAAUAAAAAGAAAUCGUGUGAGUCGGUGGGGAUCAAUUCUUAUGAAGUACGCUUGCCGGAGGGUUCUACAGAACAAGAAUUACUCAAGUUUAUCUCAGACUUCAAUGAUGAUCCUUCAGUUCAUGGAAUCCUUGUUCAGUUACCUCUGCCUUCUCAUAUGAAUGAGCAGAACAUCUUAAAUGCUGUUUGCAUUGAGAAAGAUGUUGAUGGAUUUCACCCACUGAACAUUGGUCGUCUAGCCAUGCGAGGUAGAGAACCCACUUUUGUUCCAUGCACACCAAAAGGAUGCAUAGAAUUGUUGCAUAGAUAUGGAAUUAAUAUCAAAGGAAAGAGGGCGGUUGUAAUUGGCAGGAGCAAUAUUGUUGGCAUGCCAGCUGCUCUAUUGCUGCAAAGGGAAGAUGCUACCGUCAGCAUAGUCCACUCAAGAACCAAGAACCCUGAGGAGUUUACAAGACAGGCAGAUAUUAUUAUAUCAGCUGUAGGCCAGCCAAAUAUGGUUAGGGGCAGCUGGAUAAAGCCUGGUGCGGUGAUCAUUGAUGUUGGAAUUAAUCCAGUCGAGGAUUCAAAAAGUCCUCGAGGUUACCGUUUGGUUGGAGAUGUCUGUUAUGAGGAGGCCACCAAAAUUGCAUCAGCUAUUACUCCAGUUCCUGGUGGAGUGGGUCCAAUGACAAUAGCUAUGCUUCUUUCGAAUACUUUCAUCUCGGCGAAGAGGAUUCACAACUUCCAGUGAAAUUUUCAGAAUCACUGUUGCAAGGAGUUUCGUAAGAUGCUUGUUUCACCAGUUCCAUUCGCUUUUCAUCUACCAUGGGUUGCAUCCUCAGUCUGGCCUUGUAGAUUGCACUUCAGCAAGGGUAGUACGCAGCCGCAAAAGCUUCGGCAACCUACGGCAGAGUAAUGCAUGUUUAAUGUAAAAAAAGGUUCCCUAAAUAUAUAUAACAGCUCGUAGCUAUCUAUAUGCAGUAUUAUGUAUCUCGCCAAAAGCAGAAUCCAUAUUUAGAAGAUCAUUUCUUGACCAUGUUAGGCUUUUGUGGCAAGGACA
Juglans microcarpa x Juglans regia is the source of this 1493-nucleotide RNA transcript. It is a transcript of the gene named bifunctional protein FolD 4, chloroplastic, with no coding region annotated. The transcript is spliced from 6 exons. Lineage: Eukaryota; Viridiplantae; Streptophyta; Magnoliopsida; Fagales; Juglandaceae. The record is from RefSeq and is a predicted model, not a curated record.